RNAcentral lists this ribosomal RNA (301 nucleotides) under uncultured bacterium. Its description in RNAcentral is "partial 16S ribosomal RNA". It matches the Rfam family "Bacterial small subunit ribosomal RNA", at positions 509 to 809 of the family's 1533-position model. The record is from RNAcentral.
CAGUAGCCGCGGGAAUACAGAGGUCUCAAGCGUUGUUCGGAUUCAUUGGGCGUAAAGGGUGCGUAGGUGGCGGUGUAAGUCUAACGUGAAAUCUCGGGGCUCAACCUCGAAAUUGCGUCGGAUACUGCAUUGCUAGAGGAUUGUAGAGGAGAGUGGAAUUCAUGGUGUAGCAGUGAAAUGCGUAGAUAUCAUGAGGAAGACCAGUUGCGAAGGCGACUCUCUGGGCAACUCCUGACACUGAGGCACGAAGGCUAGGGGAGCAAACGGGAUUAGAUACCCCCGUAGUCCCUGUCUCUUAUAA